UAAUACGUAGGUGGCAAGCGUUGUCCGGAUUUAUUGGGCGUAAAGCGCGCGCAGGCGGCUAUGUAAGUCUGGUGUUAAAGCCCGGGGCUCAACCCCGGUUCGCAUCGGAAACUGCAGAGCUUGAGUGCAGAAGAGGAAAGCGGUAUUCCACGUGUAGCGGUGAAAUGCGUAGAGAUGUGGAGGAACACCAGUGGCGAAGGCGGCUUUCUGGCCUGUAACUGACGCUGAGGCGCGAAAGCGUGGGGAGCAAACAGGAUUAGAUACCCUGGUAGUCCACGCCGUAAACGAUGAGUGCUAGGUGUUGGGGGUUUCAAUACCCUCAGUGCCGCAGCUAACGCAAUAAGCACUCCGCCUGGGGAGUACGCUCGCAAGAGUGAA
Molecule: ribosomal RNA, 378 nt
Filed under: uncultured bacterium
Lineage: Bacteria
Description: bacterial SSU rRNA
Rfam family: Bacterial small subunit ribosomal RNA
Source: RNAcentral